GCUCGCUUCGGCAGCACAUAUUAAAGUUGGAAUGAUACAGAGAAGAUUAGCAUGGUCCCUGCACAAGGAUGACACGCGGAAAAAAAAAAAAAAAAAAAAAAAA
This is a small nuclear RNA of Mastomys coucha (southern multimammate mouse), 103 nucleotides long. The record is from RefSeq and is a predicted model, not a curated record. Lineage: Eukaryota; Metazoa; Chordata; Mammalia; Rodentia; Muridae.